AUUACUUUGGCAGAGUUAGUGUAAUGAUUUUAGAAUUCAUUUAUGUAUUUAUAUACAAGUAAUA
RNAcentral lists this transfer RNA (64 nucleotides) under Myrmecophilus kubotai. RNAcentral's name for it is "tRNA-Leu". The record is from RNAcentral. Lineage: Eukaryota; Metazoa; Arthropoda; Insecta; Orthoptera; Myrmecophilidae.